GAAAUGCGAUACGUAGUGUGAAUUGCAGAAUCAGUGAAUCAUCGAAUCUUUGAACGCAUAUUGCACCCAUUGGUAUUCCGAUGGGUAUGCCUGUUUGAGUGUCAUGAAAAUCUCAUUCCCAUCAAGUUUUUUACUUGGUUUGGGAGUGGACUUGAGCUUGCGUUGGCUAGCUCGAAAUGCAUGGUGGUGAAAGACCUGCCGAGUUUAACGUCAUAUCAAUUUCGCUAGACUCUGGCGGUGCUCGGAGCCCUCAUAACCAACCUUUUUAAAAUCUUGGCCUCAAAUCAGGUAGGAUUACCCGCUGAACUUAA
This 311-nucleotide unclassified non-coding RNA is filed under the name uncultured fungus. Its description in RNAcentral is "sequence contains ITS1". The stretch from base 1 to 104 matches the Rfam family "5.8S ribosomal RNA", at positions 50 to 154 of the family's 154-position model. Lineage: Eukaryota; Fungi. The record is from RNAcentral.